Molecule: ribosomal RNA, 253 nt
Filed under: uncultured bacterium
Lineage: Bacteria
Description: partial 16S ribosomal RNA
Rfam family: Bacterial small subunit ribosomal RNA
Source: RNAcentral
UACAGGGGGUGCAAACGUUGCUCGGAAUCAUUGGGCGUAAAGCGCACGUAGGCGGUCUGUUAUGUCGGAUGUGAAAGCCCUUGGCUCUACUGAGGAAGUGCAUCCGAAACUGGCAGGCUAGAGUACUAAAGAGGGUCGCGGAAUUCCCGGUGUAGAGGUGAAAUUCGUAGAUAUCGGGAGGAACACCGGUGGCGAAGGCGGCGACCUGGGUAGAUACUGACGCUGAGGUGCGAAAGCGUGGGGAGCAAACAGG